RNAcentral lists this transfer RNA (77 nucleotides) under Bacteroidetes bacterium OLB12. Its description in RNAcentral is "tRNA-Ala". It matches the Rfam family "tRNA". From Rfam's summary of the family: Transfer RNA (tRNA) molecules are approximately 80 nucleotides in length. Their secondary structure includes four short double-helical elements and three loops (D, anti-codon, and T loops). RNAcentral also lists the same sequence under 3 other names. The record is from RNAcentral. Lineage: Bacteria; Pseudomonadati; Bacteroidota.
GGGGGAUUAGCUCAGCUGGCUAGAGCGCUUCCAUGGCAUGGAAGAGGUCAUCGGUUCGAAUCCGAUAUUCUCCACCA